GUUGUGAGAGGAUCUUGGAGAAGCUGUCACAAUGGAGUCGGAAGGAAGAGUGAGGUGGGAGACAGUUCUAGGGCACAGAGUCACAGGAGCCUAGUGGUGGAGAGAGUGAUGGGUAGUGGAGAGGGAAUGCUCAAGACUGACUCUUUUCUGAAGAUGGCAGAUACUCCUUGAGAAGCUUUCCUACGGAAAACAAUUAUUAUGAUGAUUAGCAGAGGAAGAAAAGAACAAAUGUUCUGUUCUUGAUUUGUCCCAGCCUUAUUGGAAAAUCAGGUCACCUGAAAUUUGACAGCACGACGCACAUGAAGUU
This is a long non-coding RNA of Fukomys damarensis (Damara mole-rat), 307 nucleotides long. RefSeq lists it as uncharacterized. NCBI's taxonomy places the organism in Eukaryota, Metazoa, Chordata, Mammalia, Rodentia, Bathyergidae. The record is from RefSeq and is a predicted model, not a curated record. The transcript is spliced from 3 exons.